RNAcentral lists this ribosomal RNA (2583 nucleotides) under human gut metagenome. RNAcentral's name for it is "bacterial LSU rRNA". It matches the Rfam family "Bacterial large subunit ribosomal RNA", at positions 221 to 2826 of the family's 2925-position model. The record is from RNAcentral.
GAAAUCAACCGAGAUUCCCCCAGUAGCGGCGAGCGAACGGGGAGCAGCCCAGAGCCUGAAUCAGUGUGUGUGUUAGUGGAAGCGUCUGGAAAGGCGCGCGAUACAGGGUGACAGCCCCGUACACAAAAAUGCACAUGCUGUGAGCUCGAUGAGUAGGGCGGGACACGUGGUAUCCUGUCUGAAUAUGGGGGGACCAUCCUCCAAGGCUAAAUACUCCUGACUGACCGAUAGUGAACCAGUACCGUGAGGGAAAGGCGAAAAGAACCCCGGCGAGGGGAGUGAAAAAGAACCUGAAACCGUGUACGUACAAGCAGUGGGAGCACGCUUAGGCGUGUGACUGCGUACCUUUUGUAUAAUGGGUCAGCGACUUAUAUUCUGUAGCAAGGUUAACCGAAUAGGGGAGCCGAAGGGAAACCGAGUCUUAACUGGGCGUUAAGUUGCAGGGUAUAGACCCGAAACCCGGUGAUCUAGCCAUGGGCAGGUUGAAGGUUGGGUAACACUAACUGGAGGACCGAACCGACUAAUGUUGAAAAAUUAGCGGAUGACUUGUGGCUGGGGGUGAAAGGCCAAUCAAACCGGGAGAUAGCUGGUUCUCCCCGAAAGCUAUUUAGGUAGCGCCUCGUGAAUUCAUCUCCGGGGGUAGAGCACUGUUUCGGCAAGGGGGUCAUCCCGACUUACCAACCCGAUGCAAACUGCGAAUACCGGAGAAUGUUAUCACGGGAGACACACGGCGGGUGCUAACGUCCGUCGUGAAGAGGGAAACAACCCAGACCGCCAGCUAAGGUCCCAAAGUCAUGGUUAAGUGGGAAACGAUGUGGGAAGGCCCAGACAGCCAGGAUGUUGGCUUAGAAGCAGCCAUCAUUUAAAGAAAGCGUAAUAGCUCACUGGUCGAGUCGGCCUGCGCGGAAGAUGUAACGGGGCUAAACCAUGCACCGAAGCUGCGGCAGCGACGCUGAUGCGUUGUUGGGUAGGGGAGCGUUCUGUAAGCCUGUGAAGGUGUGCUGUGAGGCAUGCUGGAGGUAUCAGAAGUGCGAAUGCUGACAUAAGUAACGAUAAAGCGGGUGAAAAGCCCGCUCGCCGGAAGACCAAGGGUUCCUGUCCAACGUUAAUCGGGGCAGGGUGAGUCGACCCCUAAGGCGAGGCCGAAAGGCGUAGUCGAUGGGAAACAGGUUAAUAUUCCUGUACUUGGUGUUACUGCGAAGGGGGGACGGAGAAGGCUAUGUUGGCCGGGCGACGGUUGUCCCGGUUUAAGCGUGUAGGCUGGUUUUCCAGGCAAAUCCGGAAAAUCAAGGCUGAGGCGUGAUGACGAGGCACUACGGUGCUGAAGCAACAAAUGCCCUGCUUCCAGGAAAAGCCUCUAAGCAUCAGGUAACAUCAAAUCGUACCCCAAACCGACACAGGUGGUCAGGUAGAGAAUACCAAGGCGCUUGAGAGAACUCGGGUGAAGGAACUAGGCAAAAUGGUGCCGUAACUUCGGGAGAAGGCACGCUGAUAUGUAGGUGAAGUCCCUCGCGGAUGGAGCUGAAAUCAGUCGAAGAUACCAGCUGGCUGCAACUGUUUAUUAAAAACACAGCACUGUGCAAACACGAAAGUGGACGUAUACGGUGUGACGCCUGCCCGGUGCCGGAAGGUUAAUUGAUAGGGUUAGCCGCAAGGCGAAGCUCUUGAUCGAAGCCCCGGUAAACGGCGGCCGUAACUAUAACGGUCCUAAGGUAGCGAAAUUCCUUGUCGGGUAAGUUCCGACCUGCACGAAUGGCGUAAUGAUGGCCAGGCUGUCUCCACCCGAGACUCAGUGAAAUUGAACUCGCUGUGAAGAUGCAGUGUACCCGCGGCAAGACGGAAAGACCCCGUGAACCUUUACUAUAGCUUGACACUGAACAUUGAGCCUUGAUGUGUAGGAUAGGUGGGAGGCUUAGAAGUGUGGACGCCAGUCUGCAUGGAGCCGACCUUGAAAUACCACCCUUUAAUGUUUGAUGUUCUAACGUUGACCCGUAAUCCGGGUUGCGGACAGUGUCUGGUGGGUAGUUUGACUGGGGCGGUCUCCUCCUAAAGAGUAACGGAGGAGCACGAAGGUUGGCUAAUCCUGGUCGGACAUCAGGAGGUUAGUGCAAUGGCAUAAGCCAGCUUGACUGCGAGCGUGACGGCGCGAGCAGGUGCGAAAGCAGGUCAUAGUGAUCCGGUGGUUCUGAAUGGAAGGGCCAUCGCUCAACGGAUAAAAGGUACUCCGGGGAUAACAGGCUGAUACCGCCCAAGAGUUCAUAUCGACGGCGGUGUUUGGCACCUCGAUGUCGGCUCAUCACAUCCUGGGGCUGAAGUAGGUCCCAAGGGUAUGGCUGUUCGCCAUUUAAAGUGGUACGCGAGCUGGGUUUAGAACGUCGUGAGACAGUUCGGUCCCUAUCUGCCGUGGGCGCUGGAGAACUGAGGGGGGCUGCUCCUAGUACGAGAGGACCGGAGUGGACGCAUCACUGGUGUUCGGGUUGUCAUGCCAAUGGCACUGCCCGGUAGCUAAAUGCGGAAGAGAUAAGUGCUGAAAGCAUCUAAGCACGAAACUUGCCCCGAGAUGAGUUCUCCCUGACUCCUUGA